AAGGGCACCACAAGAACGCGUGGAGCAUGUGGCUUAAUUUGACUCAACGCGGGGAAACUUAUCAGGUCCGAACACGCUGAGGAUUGACAGGUUCUUAUAAGAUAUAUUUAGUGUGUACUUGUAUACGCUUUAUAUAAUUUCUUAUAUUAAAUAUGCUAGUCCUUUCAUGAUUGCGUGAUAGGUGGUGCAUGGCCGUUCUUAGUUCGUGGAGUGAUCUGUCUGCUUAAUUGCGUUUCACAAAAAAUGAGUAUAUAUUAGUCACUUUGUUUGCACACAGAGUUCUAGCUGGGAAUUUUACUUCGGUAACUUUCUUUUAGCACCUCUGUUGUGCACAGUGUCUUUUUACAUAUACUCUGAAGGCAACGAACGUGACCG
RNAcentral lists this ribosomal RNA (375 nucleotides) under Foraminifera environmental sample. Its description in RNAcentral is "bacterial SSU rRNA". It matches the Rfam family "Eukaryotic small subunit ribosomal RNA", at positions 1160 to 1417 of the family's 1831-position model. Lineage: Eukaryota; Foraminifera. The record is from RNAcentral.